AUGCUAAAUGGGUUGAAUUCAUUGAGACUUUCCCUUAUGUCAUUAAACACAAGAAGGGUAAAGAAAAUGUUAUUGCUGAUGCAUUGUCUCAUCGUUAUACUAUGCUUUCACAACUUGACUUUAAAAUAUUUGGUUUGGAGACCAUCAAAGAUCAAUAUGUGCAUGAUGCUGAAUUUAAAGAUCUAUUACAGAAUUGUAAAGAAGGUAGAACAUGGAACAAGUUCGUCAUUAAUGAUGGAUUUGUGUUUCGUGCUAACAAGCUAUGCAUUCCAGCUAGCUCCGUUCGUCUUUUGUUAUUGCAGGAGGCGCAUGGAGGAGGACUAA
Molecule: ribosomal RNA, 324 nt
Filed under: Triticum aestivum (bread wheat)
Lineage: Eukaryota; Viridiplantae; Streptophyta; Magnoliopsida; Poales; Poaceae
Description: partial small subunit ribosomal RNA
Source: RNAcentral